AUCCGGGUUGCGGACAGUGUCUGGUGGGUAGUUUGACUGGGGCGGUCUCCUCCUAAAGAGUAACGGAGGAGCACGAAGGUUAGCUAAUCCUGGUCGGACAUCAGGAGGUUAGUGCAAAGGCAUAAGCUAGCUUGACUGCGAGAGUGACGGCUCGAGCAGGUGCGAAAGCAGGUCUUAGUGAUCCGGUGGUUCUGAAUGGAAGGGCCAUCGCUCAACGGAUAAAAGGUACUCCGGGGAUAACAGGCUGAUACCGCCCAAGAGUUCAUAUCGACGGCGGUGUUUGGCACCUCGAUGUCGGCUCAUCACAUCCUGGGGCUGAAGUAGGUCCCAAGGGUAUGGCUGUUCGCCAUUUAAAGUGGUACGCGAGCUGGGUUUAGAACGUCGUGAGACAGUUCGGUCCCUAUCUGCCGUGGGCGCUGGAGAAUUGAGGGGGGCUGCUCCUAGUACGAGAGGACCGGAGUGGACGCAUCACUGGUGUUCGGGUUGUCAUGCCAAUGGCAUUGCCCGGUAGCUAAAUGCGGAAGAGAUAAGUGCUGAAAGCAUCUAAGCACGAAACUUGCCCCG
RNAcentral lists this ribosomal RNA (564 nucleotides) under Citrobacter freundii. RNAcentral describes it as "partial 23S ribosomal RNA". It matches the Rfam family "Bacterial large subunit ribosomal RNA", at positions 2238 to 2801 of the family's 2925-position model. The record is from RNAcentral. Lineage: Bacteria; Pseudomonadati; Pseudomonadota; Gammaproteobacteria; Enterobacterales; Enterobacteriaceae.